GACGAACGCUGGCGGCGCGCUUAACACAUGCAAGUCGAACGGAAAGGCCCUGCUUUUGUGGGGUGCUCGAGUGGCGAACGGGUGAGUAACACGUGAGUAACCUGCCCUUGACUUUGGGAUAACUUCAGGAAACUGGGGCUAAUACCGGAUAGGAGCCCCUGCUGCAUGGUGGGGGUUGGAAAGUUUCGGCGGUUGGGGAUGGACUCGCGGCUUAUCAGCUUGUUGGUGGGGUAGUGGCUUACCAAGGCUUUGACGGGUAGCCGGCCUGAGAGGGUGACCGGCCACAUUGGGACUGAGAUACGGCCUAGACUCCUACGGGAGGCAGCAGUGGGGAAUAUUGCACAAUGGGCGGAAGCCUGAUGCAGCAACGCCGCGUGCGGGAUGACGGCCUUCGGGUUGUAAACCGCUUUCGCCUGUGACGAAGCGUGAGUGACGGUAAUGGGUAAAGAAGCACCGGCUAACUACGUG
Molecule: ribosomal RNA, 468 nt
Filed under: uncultured bacterium
Lineage: Bacteria
Description: partial 16S ribosomal RNA
Rfam family: Bacterial small subunit ribosomal RNA
Source: RNAcentral